GACGGGUGAGUAACACGUGAGCAACCUGCCUUUCAGAGUGGAAUAACGUUUGGAAACGAACGCUAAUACCGCAUAACGUCAGAGGAUGGCAUCAUUCUUUGACCAAAGAUUUAUCGCUGAAAGAUGGGCUCGCGGCCGAUUAGGUAGUUGGUGAGAUAAUAGCCCACCAAGCCGACGAUCGGUAGCCGGACUGAGAGGUUGAACGGCCACAUUGGGACUGAGACACGGCCCAGACUCCUACGGGAGGCAGCAGUGGGGGAUAUUGCACAAUGGGGGAAACCCUGAUGCAGCGACGCCGCGUGAGGGAAGACGGCCUUCGGGUUGUAAACCUCUGUCUUCGGGGACGAAUAAAUGACGGUACCCGAGGAGGAAGCCACGGCUAACUACGUGCCAGCAGCCGCGGUAAUACGUAGGUGGCAAGCGUUGUCCGGAAUUACUGGGUGUAAAGGGAGCGUAGGCGGGGAGGCAAGUUGAAUGUCUAAACUAUCGGCUCAACUGAUAGUCGCGUUCAAAACUGCCACUCUUGAGUGCAGUAGAGGUAGGCGGAAUUCCUAGUGUAGCGGUGAAAUGCGUAGAUAUUAGGAGGAACACCAGUGGCGAAGGCGGCCUACUGGGCUGUAACUGACGCUGAGGCUCGAAAGCGUGGGUAGCAAACAGGAUUAGAUACCCUGGUAGUCCACGCCGUAAACGAUGAUUACUAGGUGUGGGGGGACUGACCCCUUCCGUGCCGGAGUUAACACAAUAAGUAAUCCACCUGGGGAGUACGGCCGCA
Molecule: ribosomal RNA, 772 nt
Filed under: uncultured bacterium
Lineage: Bacteria
Description: bacterial SSU rRNA
Rfam family: Bacterial small subunit ribosomal RNA
Source: RNAcentral